ACAAGAAGAAAGGGUUUUGCUUCCUGGUUCUGGUGUGCAAGCUGGGCAGGUGCUUACAGCACAGGUGGCAAUCAGCACCCAGCAGCCAGCAGCUUCCUCCGGGACCCCCCUUCAGUGUUUCUGGAGCUGUGCUCUUGAUGAGACAUCUCCCUGAAAAGCUUUCCCUGGCACCCCAGAGAAUGGAUUUCUGAUAGUUGCUGGAAAUUUCUGCCAUUCUUAAACAAAGCAUCUUUGUGCUGUAUCAGCUUGCAUUUUCCUUGGAUUGUAUUUGGAUGAUGCCUUUUCACUGACUUCAGCACUGGAGUAUUGUAGCCAUGGCUUUAGUAACUUACCAGCUGCCAGAUGUGUCGAUGUCAUUUAAUUCUUAUGCCACCUCUAUGAGGUUGAAUAUUACCUUUAAGGAAACAACAGCGGGGGCCGGCCCCUUGGCACAGUGGUAAAGUUCGCAUGCUCUGCUUUGGUGGCCUGGGGUUUCGCCGGUUUGGAUCCUGGGCAUGGACACAGCACCGCUCAUCAGGCCACGCUGAGGUGGUGUCCCACAUGCCACAACUAGAAGGACCCACAACCAAAAUAUGCAACUAUGUACUGGGGGGAUUUGGGGAGAAAAAGCAGAAAUAAAAAAAAAUAAGAUUGGC
Molecule: long non-coding RNA, 635 nt
Filed under: Equus caballus (horse)
Lineage: Eukaryota; Metazoa; Chordata; Mammalia; Perissodactyla; Equidae
Description: lncRNA (ENSECAG00000056873.1)
Source: RNAcentral